Molecule: ribosomal RNA, 259 nt
Filed under: uncultured prokaryote
Description: partial 16S ribosomal RNA
Rfam family: Bacterial small subunit ribosomal RNA
Source: RNAcentral
UACGGAGGAUCCGAGCGUUAUCCGGAUUUAUUGGGUUUAAAGGGUGCGCAGGCGGAAGAUUAAGUCGGUGGUGAAAUUUUGCAGCUCAACUGUAAAAGUGCCAUUGAUACUGGUUUUCUUGAGUGUGGAUGAAGUAGGCGGAAUUUGUGGUGUAGCGGUGAAAUGCAUAGAUAUACCACAGAACACCGAUUGCGAAGGCAGCUUACUAAACUGUCACUGACGCUGAUGCACGAAAGCGUGGGUAUCAAACAGGAUUAGA